GUCACUUUGGCGGAGUGGUUAACGCGCUGCCCUGCUAAGCUUUAGCAUAGGCAGUUCCCUCGGGAGCGUAGGUUCGAAUCCUACAGGUGACG
Molecule: non-coding RNA, 92 nt
Organism: Podospora aff. communis PSN243
Lineage: Eukaryota; Fungi; Ascomycota; Sordariomycetes; Sordariales; Podosporaceae
Source: the annotation of a GenBank genome assembly